CUUGCUUCAUUGCUGUUGGUCUCUUCAUCAUGACUGCAGCAGUGAUUGUGAUCAACAUCAGGAGCAAAACUGAAGACACCGACUCCACAGCAGUUACCGACAAUGACUAUGUGUAAGCAUGAAAAAUCUGAAGAAAACAGAACAGGCCUGAAGAAAAGAAAAUAUAUAAAAAAAUAUAAAAAAGUAAAUAUAAAUGAAAAAUAUAUUCAUUAUAACCUAUAACUAGAGGUGUACAUAAGUGGUACGCAGCGACCAAAAUAAAAAAUGGGCUGUAUAAAUUCAGACCACUCAUGGUUGACAGCUGUUAAUGCACAAUUACCAUUUUAGAUCGACAAACUGUAGUACUGUACACUGCAAAAAAAAUUAUUUUCUUAGUUUGAUUUUUUUGUCUUGUUUCCAGCCAAAAUAUUGAAGCAAAAACUCGCUCAAUGUGUAAAUUUUUAGAUAUUUAGAAAAGCAUUUUAUGCAGUUUCUAUUCGAAAUGAAAGCAUAAAUCUAGACUAUGCAAUCCCAUUUUCAAAGCACAAUGCAAAACAGUGAUAAUUCAUUCACUGAUUCCUCAAUCGGCUCCACUAAACCAGAAAAUAUACUUACCUGCCGGUAACAUGGCAAAAUAAAGGCUUGCUGAUUUUAAGUAUGAAAAUGCUGAAAAUUUAUAUUAAAAAAGUAAAUAUUUGCAUUUUAUUUUAAGUUUACUAAAAAAUAAUUGUAUCUUUGUUUAAUACUCAGUUUUUAUUUUAAAAUAUUUAGUAUUUCAGUAAAUAUAAUAUCACACUUUAUUUUGUUUAUUUUAUUUUUAAAUAACUAAAUAAAGUGCAAUAGCAUUAUUGUCACUGUUAUUAAUGUAUUUUUUAUAUAGUUAUAUUUUAAUGGGUCAGGACAGUGUGAGGACUAAACCAAGUCUAAAGGUGCUCUUAUGAGAACCAGGCUAAAAAACUUAUGUGCACCCCUGCUUAUAACCAUAACCUUUUGCAUUUUUAUUUCAUUAGUUUUGUUGUUGUUGUUGCUUAUGCUGUAACGUUCCUUAUAAAUAUGUAUCUCUGGAUGAAAAAAAAUA
Molecule: long non-coding RNA, 1057 nt
Organism: Cyprinus carpio (common carp)
Lineage: Eukaryota; Metazoa; Chordata; Actinopteri; Cypriniformes; Cyprinidae
Exons: 2
Source: RefSeq, a predicted model, not a curated record